AGCAGCCGCCGCGGUAAUACAGAGGGUGCAAGCGUUAAUCGGAAUUACUGGGCGUAAAGCGCGCGUAGGUGGUUUGUUAAGUUGGAUGUGAAAUCCCCGGGCUCAACCUGGGAACUGCAUCCAAAACUGGCAAGCUAGAGUAUGGUAGAGGGUGGUGGAAUUUCCUGUGUAGCGGUGAAAUGUGUAGAUAUAGGAAGGAACACCAGUGGCGAAGGCGACCACCUGGACUGAUACUGACACUGAGGUGCGAAAGCGUGGGGAGCAAACAGGAUUAGAUACCCCCGUAGUCCCUGUCUCUUAUAC
RNAcentral lists this ribosomal RNA (303 nucleotides) under uncultured bacterium. Its description in RNAcentral is "partial 16S ribosomal RNA". It matches the Rfam family "Bacterial small subunit ribosomal RNA", at positions 507 to 807 of the family's 1533-position model. The record is from RNAcentral.